ACGCUGGCGGCAGGCCUAACACAUGCAAGUCGAGCGGUAGAGAGAAGCUUGCUUCUCUUGAGAGCGGCGGACGGGUGAGUAAUGCCUAGGAAUCUGCCUGGUAGUGGGGGAUAACGUUCGGAAACGGACGCUAAUACCGCAUACGUCCUACGGGAGAAAGCAGGGGACCUUCGGGCCUUGCGCUAUCAGAUGAGCCUAGGUCGGAUUAGCUAGUUGGUGAGGUAAUGGCUCACCAAGGCGACGAUCCGUAACUGGUCUGAGAGGAUGAUCAGUCACACUGGAACUGAGACACGGUCCAGACUCCUACGGGAGGCAGCAGUGGGGAAUAUUGGACAAUGGGCGAAAGCCUGAUCCAGCCAUGCCGCGUGUGUGAAGAAGGUCUUCGGAUUGUAAAGCACUUUAAGUUGGGAGGAAGGGCAUUAACCUAAUACGUUAGUGUUUUGACGUUGCCGACAGAAUAAGCACCGGCUAACUCUGUGCCAGCAGCCGCGGUAAUACAGAGGGUGCAAGCGUUAAUCGGAAUUACUGGGCGUAAAGCGCGCGUAGGUGGUUUGUUAAGUUGGAUGUGAAAUCCCCGGGCUCAACCUGGGAACUGCAUUCAAAACUGACUGACUAGAGUAUGGUAGAGGGGUGGUGGAAUUUCCUGUGUAGCGGUGAAAUGCGUAGAUAUAGGAAGGAACACCAGUGGCGAAGGCGACCACCUGGACUAAUACUGACACUGAGGUGCGAAAGCGUGGGGAGCAAAC
RNAcentral lists this ribosomal RNA (746 nucleotides) under uncultured bacterium. RNAcentral's name for it is "bacterial SSU rRNA". It matches the Rfam family "Bacterial small subunit ribosomal RNA", at positions 33 to 773 of the family's 1533-position model. The record is from RNAcentral.